Molecule: ribosomal RNA, 446 nt
Filed under: uncultured bacterium
Lineage: Bacteria
Description: SSU rRNA
Rfam family: Bacterial small subunit ribosomal RNA
Source: RNAcentral
AGAGCGAACGCUGGCGGCAGGCCUAACACAUGCAAGUCGAGCGCCCGUAGCAAUACGGGAGCGGCAGACGGGAUAGUAACACGUGGGAACGCGCCCUUCGGUUCGGAAUAACUCAGGGAAACUUGAGCUAAUACCGGAUACGCCCUUACGGGGAAAGAUUUAUUGCCGAAGGAACGGCCCGCGUCCGAUUAGCUAGUUGGUGAGGUAAUGGCUCACCAAGGCGACGACCGGUAGCUGGUCUGAGAGGAUGACCAGCAUCACUGGGACUGAGACACGGCCCAGACUCCUACGGGAGGCAGCAGUGGGGAAUAUUGGACAAUGGGCGCAAGCCUGAUCCAGCCAUGCCGCGUGGAUGAUGAAGGCCUUAGGGUUGUAAAGUCCUUUUAACGGGGAAGAUAAUGACGGUACCGUAGAAUAAGCCCCGGCUAACUUCGCGCAGCAGCCGC